Molecule: long non-coding RNA, 1728 nt
Filed under: Homo sapiens (human)
Lineage: Eukaryota; Metazoa; Chordata; Mammalia; Primates; Hominidae
Description: long intergenic non-protein coding RNA 958
Source: RNAcentral
CUCUCUCUCUCUCCUGCUGCAUUGUGAAGAAACUGCUUGCUUCCCUCUCACCCUCUGCAGUUUCCUGAGGCCUCCCCAGCCAUGCGGAACGGCCAGAUGCAGUGCCUCAUGCCUGUAAUCCCAGCACUUUGGGAGGCUGAGGGAGGAUUGCUUGAGCCUGCUUCCAUAUCGUAAACUGCCUUGGAACCAAUUACCACUACCAGGGAGACAAACUAUUGCUUAGAGGAUGCUGACAGGAGCAGCAUGCCAAAAUUGGAAGAACUGUAGACCAAGACCUGGAAUUAACACAUCAGAAGAUUCUAUGAGGAAACCCAUUUAAAAAUAGGAUGCAUUUUUUUCUUUUCUGCACAGGGAGAAAGUUUAAGCUCUCCUCACUAUGAGUUUUCAAGUAUAAAAGACUUUUUCUUCCACGAUUUUGAGAACAACUGAGGACUCUUGUGACCAGGACAACAGGGAAGCUUGCAGCAAGAUAGCUCCAGGUUGGAUUCAUGCUUCGCACCCCAAGGGCUGCCAGCCAGAGAGGAGGAGAAGCAAUCACUCCUGCAGUUUCUGAACACUACACAGACGCCAGGUAGCUUCUUCAGGAGAACAGCCCUCUGAGGAGGCAGGAAGAGGAGGCUUAUCUUUCAGCAGCCGGAGCUGCUGAGAUCUCUGGGCAGAUUAAGCUCUCUCUAAUGGAUGGGCUCCAGCCUGGCACAUUCAGUGGAGAGGGAUCCACUCAUCCAUCAUCAACAUAAUAUGGUCCUCCCUGCACUUCACAGUGUCCUCUUGCUAUUGAAAAGGCUUUUUUGCCUUCUCAAGUUUCUUUGUCAACAGUCUACAGGAAGAAGCUCAGGCCGCCACCGGCAGAGGUGAAUGCAAGCUCACGUUUUAUUUCUGACUGCUUAAUCAUUGCCUCGAUCACUGCUCAAGCUCUGCCUUUGUUUCCAAAGGUUACCUGUGGGAAAACUUCUUUUUCUAUGCUGAAAUUAAUAGGGAGGCAAAGAUGAGUCCACUGAUAAGCAGAGCCUUAAAACUCACAUAGAGAAACAACUUUGCUGGAGUGUGUGUGAGUGAACCACUAAGGAAUCAGAUAGUGUGAUGGCAGUUAUCAUUGCAGGUUAAGACAUUUCUACAAAUAUUUCGACAUCUCCAUAUACUCACUCCUUUCCCCCCUGAGUGGAGAGACUCAGCUACCAAGAGAGGAAGCUCAAAAAAAACAGAAGCUUCAAACAAACAACCAACCAAAAAAAAAAAAAAACUGUGGGUUCAUCAGAGGUGGUAGGGAAGACAAAAACAUGGGAGGAGCAGCUGGGCACGGUGGCUCAAGCCUGUAAUCCCAGCACUUUGCGAGGCUGAGGUGGGUGGAUCACCUGAGGUCAGGAGUUCGAGACCAGCCUGGCCAACAUGGUGAAACCCCAUCUCUACUAAAAAUACAAAAAAUUAGCCGGGCGUUGUGGUACGCACCUGUAAUCCCAGCUACUCCGGAGGCUGAGGCAGCAGAAUCGCUUGAACCCAGGAGGCAGAGGUUGCAACGAGCCAAGAUCGCACCAUUGCACUCCAGCCUGGGCAACAAGAGCGAAACUCCAUCUAAAAAAAACAAACAAGCAAACAAACAAAAAACACGGGAGGAGCAAUAAAAAGGAAUCCAUGCUUUGAUUUUUUUUUUUAGUGAGAGGAAGGGAAGGCUGCUGCCUCUCACUUCUCCCUGUUUUGUUGUUCUUUUAAGUAGCAUGUGUCACUCUGUAU